CUUGCCGUUGUUUUUGAUUAAAAUUACACAUGUAAGUAUCCGCACACCAGUGAAAAUGCCCUAAAACAUAAAUGGAGCAGGUAUCAGGCACGAAUCUUCAGCCCAAAACGCCUUGCUACGCCACACCCCCACGGGACUUCAACAGUGAUAAACAUUAAGCCAUAAGCGAAAAGACAAAUAAAGCUUGACUUAGUUAUAAUCAGCUAAGGGUCGGCCAAUCUCGUGCCAGCCGCCGCGGUUAUACGAGAGACCCAAAUCAACGACAAACAGCGUAAAUUGUGGCUAGAAUACCAAGCUAACAACUAAGAAAUAAACUACACCUAACCGUAAAACACAGGUAAAAAGAAAUCUCUUACCCAAAGCAAUUUGAACCCACGAAAACUAAGAAACAAACUAGGAUUAGAUACCCUACUAUGCUUAGAUGUAAAUAAGACACCAAUCAACAGAAAUGUCCGCUAGAGAACUACAAGCGAAAAGCUUAAAACUCAAAAGACUUGGCGGUGUCCCAAAUCCGACUUAGAGGAGCCUGUCCUAUAAUCGAUAAUCCACGAUAAACCCCACCACCUCUUGCCAACCCGCCUAUAUACCGCCGUCGCAAAUCUACCUUACAAAAGAACAAAAGUAGGUAAAAUAGUCUAAACCACUAAAACGUCAGGUCAAGGUGUAGCUUAUGAGAUGGAAGAGAUGGGCUACAUUCUUUAACUUAAAGCAAACAGGAAAAACCCUGAAAUAAGUUUCAAAAGGAGGAUUUAACAGUAAAACUAGCAAGAAAGCUAGCUUUAAACUCGCUCUGGGACGCGCACACACCGCCCGUCACC
RNAcentral lists this non-coding RNA (818 nucleotides) under Microlophus stolzmanni. RNAcentral's name for it is "partial 12S ribosomal RNA". It matches the Rfam family "Bacterial small subunit ribosomal RNA". The record is from RNAcentral. Lineage: Eukaryota; Metazoa; Chordata; Lepidosauria; Squamata; Tropiduridae.